AUUAACGCUAGCGGCAGGCAUAAUACAUGCAAGUUGAACGGCAGCACAGGUAGCAAUACCGGGUGGCGAGUGGCGCACGGGUGCGUAACACGUAUGCAACCUACCCUAUACAGGCGAAUAACCUUUAGAAAUGAGGGCUAAUACGCCGUAGUAUUAUCUUAGGGCAUCUUAAGAUAAAUUAAAGAUUUAUCGGUAUAGGAUGGGCAUGCGUCCCAUUAGUUAGUUGGUAGGGUAACGGCUUACCAAGGCUAUGAU
This 255-nucleotide ribosomal RNA is filed under the name uncultured bacterium. RNAcentral describes it as "partial 16S ribosomal RNA". It matches the Rfam family "Bacterial small subunit ribosomal RNA", at positions 29 to 280 of the family's 1533-position model. The record is from RNAcentral.